CGGGGUGCACCAGGCGCGAAAACUUUACAAUGCUGGCAACAGCGAUAAGGGGACCUCGAGUGCCAGGAUACAAUCUUGGCUGUCGCGAUGCCUAAAAAGCAUUGCAUAGCAAGGGCCGGGCAAGACCGGUGCCAGCCGCCGCGGUAACACCGGCGGCUCGAGUGGUAACCGCUAUUAUUGGGUCUAAAGGGUCUGUAGCCGGCCGGAUAAGUCUUUUGGGAAAUCCAGCUGCUCAACAGUUGGGCUUUCAGAAGAUACUGUUCGGCUCGAGACCGGGAGAGGUGAGAGGUACUUCAGGGGUAGGGGUGAAAUCUUGUAAUCCUUGAAGGACCACCAGUGGCGAAGGCGUCUCACCAGAACGGAUCUGACGGCAAGGGACGAAAGCUAGGGGCACGAACCGGAUUAGAUACCCGGGUAGUCCUAGCCGUAAACGAUACUCGCUAGGUGUCAGCCACGGUGCGACCGUGGUUGGUGCCGUAGGGAAGCCGUGAAGCGAGCCACCUGGGAAGUACGGCCGCAAGGCUGAAACUUAAAGGAAUUGGCGGGGGAGCAC
RNAcentral lists this ribosomal RNA (553 nucleotides) under uncultured archaeon. Its description in RNAcentral is "bacterial SSU rRNA". It matches the Rfam family "Archaeal small subunit ribosomal RNA", at positions 326 to 879 of the family's 1478-position model. The record is from RNAcentral.